This 441-nucleotide ribosomal RNA is filed under the name uncultured bacterium. Its description in RNAcentral is "partial 16S ribosomal RNA". It matches the Rfam family "Bacterial small subunit ribosomal RNA", at positions 338 to 795 of the family's 1533-position model. The record is from RNAcentral.
CCUACGGGUGGCUGCAGUGGGGAAUAUUGCACAAUGGGGGAAACCCUGAUGCAGCGACGCCGCGUGAGCGAGGAAGUAUUUCGGUAUGUAAAGCUCUAUCAGCAGGGACGAAAGAAGACGGUACCUGACUAAGAAUCCCCGGCUAACUACGUUCCAGCAGCCGCGGUAAUACGUAGGGGGCAAGCGUUAUCCGGAUGUACUGGGUGUAAAGGGAACGUAGACGGAAAGGUAAGCCAGAAGUGAAAGGGCAGGGCUCAACCCUGGAAAUGCAUUUGGGACUGUGGGGCUAGAGUGCAGGAGAGGUGAGUGGAAGUCCUAGUGUAGCGGUGAAAUGCGUAGAUAUUAGGAGGAACACCAGUGGCGAAGGCGGCUUACUGGACUGUAACUGACGUUGAGGCUCGAAAGCGUGGGGAGCAAACAGGAUUAGAUACCCGUGUAGUC